This is a long non-coding RNA of Felis catus (domestic cat), 2912 nucleotides long. RefSeq lists it as uncharacterized. The transcript has 4 exons. NCBI's taxonomy places the organism in Eukaryota, Metazoa, Chordata, Mammalia, Carnivora, Felidae. The record is from RefSeq and is a predicted model, not a curated record.
GUCAGCACAGAACCUGACACAGGGCUUGAACUUGCAAACCGUGAGAUCAUGACCUGAGCCCAAGUCAGAGGCUUAACCCACUGAACCACCCAGGUGCGCCUGGAAUCCUCGUUCUGUUUCAUUGGUCCACGUGUCUGUCUUAACGCCAGUACCACACUUUUGAAUACUGUAGCUUUGUAGUAAGUUUUAAAAUCAGAAAGUGUGAGUCUUCCAGUUUUAUUCCUUUUUGUAGGAGUGCUGAUAAUAGUAAUUCCGUCUUUUUCAUGCUCAGUGACCUCUUGGGGCUACAUGUUCCAGGCCCCAUAGAAGUUAAUGUAUGCCCUGACCAAAACUCAGGAAGGUUUGUUCUGAUCUUUCCUAAAGUGGAAGACAGAAGACUCCACUUCAGGUAACUAGCAGAGAUCCUCUUGCACACAGAUGAUGCCACUUUAGAUAACUACGCUGUGAUCUCACCACCCUGCGCUUCUCCAUAAAAGCUGGGAAUUAAGGUCUGGACUGGGCAGGGAAUCACAGCAGAAUGAGGAUGGAGAAUGGCCACGUACCGUUGUUGAACUUACAGAUCCCUCCUUGUUGAAAGACUAUGCAGCUACCAUUUAGCUACUUUAUAUCAAGAUAACACUAUUUCCACAAGACUUGUAUUGGCUACAAUUCAUCCAAAGCUACCUUUCUUAAGAGGUUCAUUCACUGCCUGGAUUGCAUACCAACCAGAGAAGGUCCUGGAAGAAUUACCCAGCAUGCCUCAAGGAGUCACAUGGGAGGUCAAGGCAGAAAACAAACAGAGGCAGGACCUGGGGCACAUGUCUUUUUUCAGGAGAGUAUUCUAGAGGAAGAGCAACAUCGGAUCAUGACAAAAUUGAUUUCAUUAAAAAUUGUUGACCUUUUGCUUCAUCGCACCUCUAAACGCAAGAUGCAUCACCAGCAGCUCUACUGGAACCACCCUUGGAAAUUUAGCCCGGGUUCACUCUUGCUACAUCUGCUCGAACCGGAUGGUCUGCUCCUGAAAUACAGCCUCAGUAUGUGCAGCCAGGGUUUACGAUGGUAGCCAGGGUUUAGGACAGUAGCAGAAGUCCUAAAGGAUUCGCCAAGGUGGACUGAGUGAAUUUCCCUGAAUGGAUUAUCCCCAACAUCUACCCGAUGGAAGAAACAAUGCUACUUUUUUACACAAAAUUUUUGAAAAGAAAAGACUUCAGGGGCAUCUGGCUUGCUUAGUCAGUAGAGCAUGUGCCCUUGAUCUCGGGACUGUGAGUUCAAGCCCCACCUUGGGCGUGGAGCCUACUUAAAAAAUAUGUGGUUUGUUUUCCUUCAGUUAUAUAAAAGUAUUCAUGCUGGGGCCGGAGAGGGUGGGGGGAGUUGGGGGGAGGCAUUGGGCGUCUUGCUAUAGCACUCUGCUAAAUGCUGUGAACAGGGCAAAACAAGUACAACGAGUUCUCUAUGCCUGAGGAGCUCCCAGUGCAGCCCAAGAAACAGGUAUGGGCUCUACUCUUGAUAAAAGGAAAACUAUAGUGGGGGCGCCUGUCUCUUGAUUUCAACUUGGGUCAUGAUCUCACAGUUUGUAAAAUUGAGCCCCGAGUCAAGCUCUGUAAUGACAGCACGGAGCCUUCUUGGGAUUCUCUCUCUGCCUUUCCCCAGCUUGCUUGCGUGCGUUCUCUCUCUCUCUCUCAAACUAAAUAAACAAACUUAAAAAAAAAAAAAAAAAAAAGUCCAGGGAAGCCCUGACCUCCCCUCUGACUGGAAUGACUAUUUAGAGUGACAAAGCUAAUACACAUUGUAAAGAGCAGCAAAAAAUGUUACAUGUUAGAUAUGGCCAGAACGCUAAAGGUACUACAGCCUGCCACAGAGGCUGGAGUAGUCAGGAAGGGACAUUAGGAGGUACAGAGGUGGCAGGGAAUGUGGGACCAGGAGGAGCCUGGCCAAAGAGGGAGGCAAGAGGCAGUGGGUGGUAAGGCGGAGGCCUCAGAGUGAAUACUACUGAUUGUAAUAGCAAUUUGAGACCACUAAGAGAUGUGGGACAGAUGAGGGAUGUGAUGCAAGUGACAUUUAAGAAACAGUUUGCAGGAUGGACUAGGGAGUGAAGGUGGUGGUGAAGGGUAGUCUGAAAGUGAGUAAAUGGGGGUCGGAGGGUUAGAGGCGGUUCUCCAGAGUGCAGUGCUAACGAGCUAGACUAGGGAGUACCUGUGGUAAACAGAAUAUUUCCACAGGAUUUGAUGAAAUAUAAAUAAGAGAAGUAUUUUAUAGAAAGAUUGAUCUUUUUUGUUGUUUUGGUGUUUUUUGUGGGUUUUCUGCUUUUAAGAAGGACAGUGGAAGUAAAGCCUAAUUAAUAGAACAGUAGGGGUGCCCGGGUGCCUCAGUUGGUUAAGUGUUUGACUUCACCUCAGGUCAUGAUCUCACGGUUCAAGCCCCAUAUGGGGGUGGGGGCCUCUGCUGUCAGCACAGAGCCCCCUUCAGAUCCUCUGUCUCCCUCUCUCUGCCCCUCCCACCCCCCUCUCUCAAAAAUUAAAUAAACAUAUAAUAGAACAGGCGUAUCUUCUACUGAACAGGAGUAUCUUCUACUUCUACCUUCUACUGGGAGGUAAAGUUGAGGGACAGAGCUACUUUAAGAAAGAAGAUAAGUGUGGCUUAGAUAUGCUGAUAUGUGGGCGGGAAUCAUUGUUUGAGAUCAGUCCCCAUCAGAGAGACUCUGAAUCAAGACUUUUGUCCAGCUUGGCACCCAUUAUGACUAACAGUUUCUAUAAUGCCACGAGGCUCUUCCAGAAAAGCAUCAUACAUUCCUUGACUCAAGAUAAUGCCCAGAGGGGCGCCUGGGUGGCUCAGUUAAGUAUCCAACUUCUGCUCAGGUCAAGAUCUCAUGGCUCCUGGGUUCGAGCCCCACUUCAGGCUCUGUGCUGACAGGUCAGAGCCUGGAGCCUGCUUCC